Molecule: unclassified non-coding RNA, 352 nt
Filed under: soil metagenome
Description: partial contains 5.8S ribosomal RNA, internal transcribed spacer 2, and large subunit ribosomal RNA
Rfam family: 5.8S ribosomal RNA (bases 1-120)
Source: RNAcentral
GAUGAAGAACGCAGCGAAAUGCGAUAAGUAAUGUGAAUUGCAGAAUUCAGUGAAUCAUCGAAUCUUUGAACGCACAUUGCGCCCGCCAGUAUUCUGGCGGGCAUGCCUGUUCGAGCGUCAUUACAACCCUCAGGCCCCCGGGCCUGGCGUUGGGGAUCGGCGGAGCCCCCCGUGGGCACACGCCGUCCCCCAAAUACAGUGGCGGUCCCGCCGCAGCUUCCAUCGCGUAGUAGCUAACACCUCGCGACUGGAGAGCGGCGCGGCCACGCCGUAAAACACCCAACUCUUCUGAAGUUGACCUCGAAUCAGGUAGGAAUAUCCGCUGAACUUAAGCAUAUCAAUAAGCGGAGGA